GAUAUUUCACGGCAAUAUUAAAAUGAAUCAAGAAAGAUAUCGAACUUCCUUAUAUGACAUCUGAUUCUAAUUGUGAUUAUGAUUCUUGGGAUCAUAGUGUAGCUCCAGUCUGCAUUUCAAUCCGAUUAAAUCUGAUAAACAAGCUAACAAGCUGAGGUGUCCCGAUCAAUUAUUAUCAAUAAUUAUUUGGCUUAUGAUUAAUCUCUUCCUUUUAAAGGUUUAAUGGUCUGAGCUUUUGCAUACUAAAAUAAUUAAUAAUAAAGUCCUUUUUAUUGUUUCUAAAGAUGAUAUUAUACAAAAUAGAUGAUAUUAUAUCUGAAUUACUUCUGUCAUUACAUUUAUUAAAAUAACACAAUACUUGAGAAAUUCUGAUCUUAUUCAGAAAUGUAUCCACCAUGGUCUUCUACCGCCUUUGUAAUUAUUACUAUGAGUAUGAAGGUUGAAGGUACUUAAUAUGUACAUCUACGACGAGUAGACUCGAUUGAGUUGGCGACAUCAAUUAACAUCUACUGCUCGAUUCCACUUUCAUUUAACAAAAUUAAAAUAGUUUUGCAUGGCUAGUGACUAUUCUUUAAAUUAUCUACCACUCCCUUACCUGUUUUUGUUGGAAUAAAAUACAUAAUAAAGAAACCACUAGCCCAUUCAAUUAGUAUGCAAUUCAUUUGAAGUCUUCUCAAUAAUAAUAUAUUUUAAUAUUUUUAACCCUAGGUUUGGGUCAUCGCAUGUACAUGACAUAGAUACAUACACAAUUCAGAAGUUAAGUUAAUAUUUAUCUAAUUAGUUUAUAUCAAAUCGCUAAUCUGUGACUGUCCACACUAUGAAUCAAUGGUUGAAUAAUAAUAGGAAGUCCUUAUACCUAUAGGGUAUGGCUUAGGUGCAAACAUAUAUAUUAUAAUAGCCUGGUGGCUUAUAGUAAACAGUUUUGCGUUUGCAAUUUACUGUUAUACAAGUUGAUAUUUAUUGAUUCUCUGAUGACAAUCUCUAGAUUGGAAUGUUAAUUGGGAUUGAAUCAAGAUACUGUGCUGAGUUACAUGAACAGAAAAAGUAAGUGAAUAUUAUUUAAACAUAAUAUUUAUAUUCGGCAGUUCUUUAUUCGUUUACAAUCCUUUUAACCGUUUAUUUUUUAGGACAGCAAUAUCAUGCAUGCCAACUGUUAAAUCUAGCGAGAGCCCCAUAUUGGCAGUUUGCUGGUGCCAUUGGAGUGGCUGCGCGAUUCUGAUUGGGUCUCAAUGAUGGUCCUGGUCCUUUGAGUUUGGGUAGCCAUGUACAUAUUAUGACAUCAAAUUGUAAUCUGAUUUCAAGUGCCUCCUGCAUUUUCAUUAAGGCACGUUACAGGUUACUACAUCUAAAUGAUACCUAUAACUUCUAAGAAACCAACCCGUACCAAUACCUUACAACUGUAACAACAAACAACAAUGAGGCAAGACAUUCCUUAACAUCUCUUAUGUUAUGAGUGGUUCUAGUCCUUCAAACGAAGUGAAAGGGUUGAUUUCGAAUUUUGAAUUACACGCAAUGCGAAUGCUUCUGAUUUUAGCUUAGUGAAGAUAUGGAUGCGCAAAACAUACGAUUAUAAUAGCCUAGUUUGGUUGUUUGGAAGAUGUCGCUCUUCAGCGAUAAGACCGCUUGUUGUGCACCAUAGUUUGAGUUAUGUGCUUAAUCUGUAUGUUAUUUUCGUUUUUAUAUUGGUGAGCAACAAAGAAUAUUUGUACUGUAUUAUUUUAUUAAUCUUGAUAAAAUAAAUUUUGUUUCAUUCUAAGAGAAUAUUUAUGGAUCAUAUAAGUAUAUCGAACGAAUGUUAAAUCUGGUUUCUACCUAAUACGUUAAACAUGAUACAUUCGUUUUCUAAAAAGACACGCAGUAUAAAUUGUUUCCAUCCACCACGCACACUUGCGCACACGACGAGUCAAAUCAGGGCUGAGCUGAUAAUUUGUGAUAAAGCGGAUAUUCUGCAAGCAAUGCGUGUUAUACAAAAGCAUCAUUCAUAAGAGAUUAUGGUCCUUUUCACAAAAUGUUAUAAACACCAAUAUAACUAGAUCCCGAAGUUACAGAAAAUAUACCAAAUCGGGGGUCAGACCUAAACUGGUUUGUAAGCAACAACAGUCGGCAAAUAAACUUUAAAUUUGAUACUAUUAACUAUAACAACUAUUCCGCCAAACAGAACAAUGAAUGAGAGAUUUUGAUUCUUAUUAUUUUAAUAUUAAAAUGUUAAUUAUUUUGUUAAUGAAUUGUUGAUCAACAGCAUGAUUUGAAUCUGUGAUAAAGUCGCUGUUUGAAAGGAUGUAUCCUGGGUCACAACACAAAUUGACCAGCAAAUUUUAAUUCAAAAUGUCGUAAAUGUUUAUUAGUGCAUGAUUUUAUUUAAUUUAUAUCAAAGAUUGGUCAGGCAACUAAAUCUAAACACGUAGGUAAAGUACCUUGUCCCCUACAUAAUCAAAUAUAAAUAUCAAAAUUAACAUAACGUAUAGGUACCUAAAUAUAGAUUAUAGUUAAACCUCUUGUUUAACUUAAACUUAGGUUUGAGCAGUUUGACCUGUUAGGUAUGAGCAGGUAUGGUAAUGGCACCAUUCAUUAGACAUUUAAGAGAACAAUUGGAUAAUUGCUGACACUUCACCGAUAAUUGAAAAAUUUCUACCGCUUUGGGCGUUAAAAUUUGAGUUGAAUGUCCUUUCACCUUUUAUUAUUUUCGACAUGUUUAAUGAAAUAUGUAGUUAGGUACUUGGUUUCAAUAUAAUGAAAUGUGAGACUUAAGAGUUCUAAGGCUCUUGUUGAAGGUAAAAUGUUACUAAGUCAGUGUUUAAAAACUGAUGAUAAAUACUUGUUUUAUAGGAUUUAUAGUAAACACGAAUUACGAAUGUUUACUGAGACUUACCUGAUUCAUAAAUGAUUACUGAUUACCUUUUAUUAUUCAGUAGAGAUAACUAUAUUUUCUGAUGUGACAAUCUUUGCCACUCUCUCAUUCUUUUAACAUAGAAAUGUUGAAUCUGUUUAGUAACGUCACAUAUAAUCAUGAGCGUAAAAGUAAAAUCUUGAGCGUUGCGAGUGUUUCAAGGCACGUGAGUUGAAAACAAACUUUGCUGCUCUGGUAAAACAUAAACAUUUUUAUCACAUCAAUUAUUGUCAAAUACUGGUUCUAAAACAUAAAAAUUUAAAUAUUUAUAUCAUUCAAAACCAUAACAUGAAAUUCCAUUCCAUUCCACUGCUUAUAGCUGCUAUAGGGCUAAUAAACACACUGUUUUCAAAGAUUAAAGAGAGCUUUUUAAUUCAGACUACCCUUUGUCGCAAAAUAUUAAUAAUCGUGAAAGUAUGUAUUUAUAUAUCUGCUUUUUAUAAACUAUAUUAUGAUACCUACUGACACUUGCAAUCUCUUGUAUAUCAAAGAGCAAGAAUGUUCAGUUAAAAUGUAUGUAGGUACUCACUCAAUUGCCUAUGUGCUCAGGUGAACCACUAACAUUCGCCUGCUGAAUACCUUUUUGGUAGAAAUAAUAUAAAUAUGGGCUUCAUGGUUGAAAUAAAACAUUAAAUUGAAUUAAAUAAACCAAAUAUUGUAGCUCUUUAGUUGUACGCGCGUAAAUAAAUUGACUUUUCAUAUGUUAGAGAUAAAUAUAUGUUACUUUUGAUGAUGAUAACAGUGCAUGUGAAUAAAAAUUCCCAGCAUGCUCCACCAUGUCGUCAAGCUCACCAUACUUAUUAACCUAUCGAAUGAGCUAAUGGUUUUACGGAUACUGGAAAGCGAUAUGUAAAUGUACUACAUACCUAUACGAGGCCUGGAUGUUAGUGAGAUGACGAUAUGAGUUGUGCUGGUGUCCGACUUUAUUACCUACAUAUAACAUGAGUAUCACAUGAUUAUCCACCUGGUUUCUUGAGCUUAAUAGUCGCCUCCAAACCUCCCCUUAUAGCGACCCCUUUCCUCACACAAAGUUUACCUUAAGUUCAUAUUAGCCUCACUGGAUCACUGUUCACUCUGAGUACUGAUAACGUUGGUCACAAUAUACUAGAGACACAUCAUUAUUCUAAUAACACCAUAAGAACGUUCUUGACUUGAUCUAAAAGCAAAUAUCACUGCCCCGUCGAUCUGUUCGCACACAACCUCCUUUUUCCUACUGACGUUCUCAUGGUGUUAUUAGAAUAAUGAUGUGUCUCUUGUUGAUUGUGACCAACGUUAUCAGUUCUCAGAGUGAACAGUGAUCCAGUGAGGCUAAUAUGAACUUAAAGUAAACUUUGUGUGAGGAAAGGGGUCGCUAUAAGGGGAGGUUUGGAGGCGACUAUUAAGCUCAAGAAACCAGGUGGAUAAUCAUGUGAAACUCAUUUACAUGCAGGUAAUAAAGUCGGACACCAGCACAACUCAUAUCGUCAUCUCACUAACGUCCAGGCCUCGUAUAGGUAUGUAGUAUGUUUACAUAUUGCUUUCCAGUAUCCGUAAAAGCAUUAGCUCAUUCGAUAGGUUAAUAAGUAUGGUGAGCUUGACGACAUGGUGGAGCAUGCUGGGAAUUUUUAUUCACAUGUACUGUCAUCAUCAUCAAAAGUAACAUAUGUU
Molecule: long non-coding RNA, 4534 nt
Organism: Cydia pomonella (codling moth)
Lineage: Eukaryota; Metazoa; Arthropoda; Insecta; Lepidoptera; Tortricidae
Exons: 2
Source: RefSeq, a predicted model, not a curated record